GAUCCUGGCUCAGGACGAACGCUGGCGGCGUGCCUAACACAUGCAAGUCGAGCGGAGACAGUGAGUAGCUUGCUAUGAGCUGUUUUAGCGGCGGACGGGUGAGUAACGCGUGAGCAACCUUUCCAAGACAGGGGAAUAACACACCGAAAGGUGUACUAAUACCGCAUAAGACCACGGAAUCACAUGGUUCUGGGGUAAAAGAAUUAUCGGUUUGGGGUGGGCUCGCGUCCGAUUAGGUAGUUGGUGAGGUAACGG
RNAcentral lists this ribosomal RNA (255 nucleotides) under uncultured bacterium. RNAcentral's name for it is "partial 16S ribosomal RNA". It matches the Rfam family "Bacterial small subunit ribosomal RNA", at positions 15 to 263 of the family's 1533-position model. The record is from RNAcentral.